ACAGAGGUGGCAAACGUUGUCCGGAUUUAUUGGGUGUAAAGGGCUUGUAGGCGGUUUUGUAAGUCAAAGGUGAAAUGGCCCGGCUUAACCAGGUCAUUGCCUUUGAAACUGCAGGACUUGAGUACGGAAGAGGAAAGCGGAAUUCCCAGUGUAGCGGUGAAAUGCGUAGAUAUUGGGAGGAACACCGGUGGCGAAGGCGGCUUUCUGGUCCGAAACUGACGCUGAGAUGCGAAAGCCAGGGGAGCAAACGGGA
RNAcentral lists this ribosomal RNA (253 nucleotides) under uncultured prokaryote. Its description in RNAcentral is "partial 16S ribosomal RNA". It matches the Rfam family "Bacterial small subunit ribosomal RNA", at positions 525 to 777 of the family's 1533-position model. The record is from RNAcentral.